Molecule: ribosomal RNA, 275 nt
Filed under: uncultured bacterium
Lineage: Bacteria
Description: partial 16S ribosomal RNA
Rfam family: Bacterial small subunit ribosomal RNA
Source: RNAcentral
CCUACGGGGGGCUGCAGUAAGGAAUAUUGGUCAAUGGGCGAGAGCCUGAACCAGCCACGCCGCGUGCAGGAAGAAGGCCCUACGGGUUGUAAACUGCUUUUAUACGGGAAGAAAGUCCCCCUUGCGAGGGGGUGUGACGGUACCGUAGGAAUAAGCAUCGGCUAACUCCGUGCCAGCAGCCGCGGUAAUACGGAGGAUGCAAGCGUUAUCCGGAUUCAUUGGGUUUAAAGGGUGCGUAGGCGGGCUUGUAAGUCAGGGGUGAAAUCCGGCAGCUC